Molecule: ribosomal RNA, 497 nt
Filed under: uncultured bacterium
Lineage: Bacteria
Description: partial 16S ribosomal RNA
Rfam family: Bacterial small subunit ribosomal RNA
Source: RNAcentral
GAUGAACGCUGGCGGCGUGCCUAAUACAUGCAAGUCGAGCGAACAGAUAAGGAGCUAGCUCCUUUGACGUUAGCGGCGGACGGGUGAGUAACACGUGGGUAACCUACCUAUAAGACUGGAAUAACUCCGGGAAACCGGGGCUAAUGCAGGAUAACAUGUUGAACCGCAUGGUUCUACAGUGAAAGGCGGCUUUGCUGUCACUUAUAGAUGGACCCGCGCCGUAUUAGCUAGUUGGUGAGGUAACGGCUCACCAAGGCAACGAUACGUAGCCGACCUGAGAGGGUGAUCGGCCACACUGGAACUGAGACACGGUCCAGACUCCUACGGGAGGCAGCAGUAGGGAAUCUUCCGCAAUGGGCGAAAGCCUGACGGAGCAACGCCGCGUGAGUGAUGAAGGUCUUCGGAUCGUAAAACUCUGUUAUUAGGGAAGAACAAAUGCGUAAGUAACUGUGCGCGUCUUGACGGUACCUAAUCGGAAAGCCACGGCUAACUACGUG